RNAcentral lists this ribosomal RNA (276 nucleotides) under Aeromonas schubertii. RNAcentral's name for it is "partial 16S ribosomal RNA". It matches the Rfam family "Bacterial small subunit ribosomal RNA", at positions 1086 to 1364 of the family's 1533-position model. Lineage: Bacteria; Pseudomonadati; Pseudomonadota; Gammaproteobacteria; Aeromonadales; Aeromonadaceae. The record is from RNAcentral.
CCCGCAACGAGCGCAAUCCCUGUCCUUUGUUGCCGCACGUAAUGGUGGGAACUCAAGGGAGACUGCCCGUGAUAAACCGGACGAAGGUGGGGAUGACGUCUAGUCAUCAUGGCCCUUACGGCUGGGCUACUUCGUGCUACAAUGGCUGUACAGAGGGCUGCACCUAGCGUUAGUUAGCGAAUCCUUAAAAGCGCGUCGUACUCCGGAUUGGAGUCUGCAACUCUCUCCCUGAAUCGUAGCUCUAUUAAUCCAAUCAAAAUGAUGCGGUGGUCCGUU